This 296-nucleotide small nuclear RNA is filed under the name Ailuropoda melanoleuca (giant panda). Its description in RNAcentral is "7SK RNA". It matches the Rfam family "7SK RNA". Rfam says of the family: 7SK was discovered as an abundant small nuclear RNA in the mid-70s but a possible function has only recently been suggested. Two independent studies have found that 7SK RNA binds the CDK9/cyclin T complex (known as elongation factor P-TEFb). Lineage: Eukaryota; Metazoa; Chordata; Mammalia; Carnivora; Ursidae. The record is from Rfam by way of RNAcentral.
GGAUGUGAGGGUGAUCUGGCUGUGACAUCUGUCACCCCAUUGAUCGCCAAGGUUGAUUCGGCUGAUCUGGCUGGCUAGGCGGGUGUCCUCUUCCUCCCUCACCACUCCAUGUGCAUCCCUCCUGAAGCUGCACGCUCAGUCGAAGAGGACGACCUUCCCUGAUAGAGGAGGACCGUUCUUCAGUGAAGGGCAUAUGAAUAGCUGCACUCCCCUGCUAGAACCUCCAAACAAGCUCUCAAGGGAAUUAGGAUAUACAGCUAGUAGUGUUUGCCAUGAAUCGAAUGAGUUGACUCCCU